This 138-nucleotide small nucleolar RNA is filed under the name Ornithorhynchus anatinus (platypus). Lineage: Eukaryota; Metazoa; Chordata; Mammalia; Monotremata; Ornithorhynchidae. The record is from RNAcentral.
UGCCUCUCAGGGCCGCACCUAGAGAGUUUCCAGUACUCUACCAGCCUCAGCUACGGGAGGGAGAGUCAGGCAGAGGCCUAUCCAUUCCAUUCCUAGCUUGGCCAGUGGUUAGCCAGUGGAAGGCAAUCUGCUAUAAGU